This 482-nucleotide ribosomal RNA is filed under the name uncultured bacterium. Its description in RNAcentral is "partial 16S ribosomal RNA". It matches the Rfam family "Bacterial small subunit ribosomal RNA", at positions 30 to 507 of the family's 1533-position model. The record is from RNAcentral.
AUUGAACGCUGGCGGCAUGCUUUACACAUGCAAGUCGAACGGUAACAGGCCGCAAGGUGCUGACGAGUGGCGAACGGGUGAGUAAUGCAUCUGAACGUUCCCAUUCUUUGGGGAUAACUCUUCGGAAGAGUAGCUAAUACCCCAUACGUUUUAUGGAUGAAAUCGGUGGACCUUAAGGCCUCGCGCGAUUGGAGCUGCCGAUGUCCGAUUAGGUAGUUGGUGGGGUAAAGGGUCACCACGCCAACGAUCUGUAGCUGGUCUGAGAGGACGACCAGCCACACUGGGACUGAGACACGGCCCAGACUCCUACGGGAGGCAGCAGUGGGGAAUUGUGGACAAUGGGAGGAAGCAUGAUCCAGCAAAGCCGCGUGGAGGAAGAAGGCCUUCGGGUUGUAAACUGCUUUUGUACGGAACGAAACGGAACUGGUUAAUACCCGGGGCUAAUGACGGUACCGUAAGAAUAAGCACCGGCUAACUACGUG